This is a non-coding RNA of Drosophila melanogaster (fruit fly), 371 nucleotides long. Lineage: Eukaryota; Metazoa; Arthropoda; Insecta; Diptera; Drosophilidae. The record is from Ensembl.
AUGUUACACAAACAAAAAGGGAGCAGGGUGGCCGUGUGGAAGUCGAAAAAGAAGAGCUCGAGUCCAAACCGAACACCAAAAGCAGAAACAGGAUGGAACAAAAACACAAAAAAAAUCGCAGGCCCGGACCACCACGCACAGGACACAGAAAGGACCACGCAACCGGGAACCAGGCGAAAACAAAGGGCACAACUUUGAUGCGAGGGCCGAGGGCACAGGACGAAGGACGAUGGUCCGUGGGUGGAUCAGUAGGAGGAGACGCAGUCUGGAUGGACCCAACAAUGCCCAAGUACAGCUCGAUAAAUGUCAGCUGAGUCACCUCAGGGUCUCUGGACUACACAAAUAGAAAUCAUAAAUCAUAAUCAUUAAAU